This is a non-coding RNA of Gorilla gorilla gorilla (western lowland gorilla), 300 nucleotides long. It matches the Rfam family "Metazoan signal recognition particle RNA". From Rfam's summary of the family: The signal recognition particle (SRP) is a universally conserved ribonucleoprotein. It is involved in the co-translational targeting of proteins to membranes. The record is from Rfam. Lineage: Eukaryota; Metazoa; Chordata; Mammalia; Primates; Hominidae.
GCCAGGUGUUAUGGUGCAUGCCUGUAGUCCCAGCUACUCGGGAGGCUGAAGAGGGAGGAUUUCUUGAGCCCAGGAGUUCUGAGCUGCAGUGUGCUAUGCUGAUCCUGUGCUAUGCACUAAGUUAGGCAUCAAUAUGGUGACCUACCGGGAGGCGGGACCAUCAGGUUGCCUCAGGAGGGGUGAAAUGGCUCAGGUCAGAAGGAGAGUGGGUCAAAACUUUCAUACUGAUCAGUAGUGGGAUUGCACCUGUGAAUAGCCACUGUACUUUAGUCUGGGAAAUGUAGCAAGACCCCAUCCCUA